This 407-nucleotide ribosomal RNA is filed under the name uncultured bacterium. RNAcentral's name for it is "partial 16S ribosomal RNA". It matches the Rfam family "Bacterial small subunit ribosomal RNA", at positions 28 to 526 of the family's 1533-position model. The record is from RNAcentral.
GACGAACGCUGGCGGCGUGCUUAACACAUGCAAGUCGAGCGGAGCGGCGGACGGGUGAGUAAUGCCUAGGAAUCUGACUGGUAGUGGGGGAUAACGUCCGGAAACGGGCGCUAAUACCGCAUACUAUCAGAUGAGCCUAGGUCGGAUUAGAUAGUUGGUGGGGUAAAGGCCUACCAAGGCGACGAUCCGUAACUGGUCUGAGAGGCUGAGCAGUCACACUGUGACUGAGACACGGUCCAGACUCCUCCGGGAGGCAGCAGUGGUGAAUAUUUGACAAUUGGCGAAAGCCUUAUCCAGCCCUGCCGCGUGUUUGAAGAAGGUCUUCGGAUUGUAAAGCACUUUAAGUUGGGAGGCGUUACCAACAGAAUAAGCACCGGCUAACUUCGUGCCAGCAGCCGCGGUAAUAC